Molecule: ribosomal RNA, 2073 nt
Filed under: Triticum aestivum (bread wheat)
Lineage: Eukaryota; Viridiplantae; Streptophyta; Magnoliopsida; Poales; Poaceae
Description: partial small subunit ribosomal RNA
Source: RNAcentral
AUGGUGUCCCGACUCUAUUUGUCUGUACAAGUGACAGUGAAACCGAUGCAUCGUCGUUGUUGGAGCCUUUCUCAAAGUACUAUCCAACAUUUAAACCAGGUCGCUGUUCAUCGUUCGAGAAAUCGACGGGCGAAGCCACAUCCUACAGGCCGUGGAAAGAAUACCCAGUUCGAGAGAAUUCACUGUCUCCCAUUUUCAGUUCGUAUGCCCAGGUACGUAGGUUCCAAAGUUCAGUUCCAAGCGGCUCUGAUCGAUCGAUCUCGAGAUACACGGAUGCGGCGAGCUGCCGCGGGCGCAGCAGAUCCGGGGCUUGUGCCGGUUGUGCAGGAGCACACGCCCGGGCACGUUCCCCACGCGAUCAGCGCGUGCCCGUCGUGCGCGGGCGUCCUCCGUGCACGGGCCUCGUGCCACCUCGGAUCGGACAGCAAAGGCAACAAUGAUGUGUCCCCAGCAGCACAGUUAAUUAGCUCAAGGUCAUCUGUCUACGUGAUUCGAGAGGGGAAAAAGUUCGUUCCUGGUGCUUCUAGUUCAUCACCCCAUGCUGAUAGAUCCUUAUGGGAGUUAGUUUGGGGCACGUUGGUGCCACCAAAAUUGAAACACUUUGCCUGGCAAGAAAAAAAGUCUUCUUUUCAUGCUCUACUUGUUCGCCCCAAUGUUGCUGUUCUUUGGGAUACCAUGAGGAGGCACUGGCCAUUACCAAUAAGGGAGGAGAUUACUUAUAUCGGUGAUGAAUGGCUGCUCCAUCUCCUAGCCGGUUCACAAGAACAUUUAAGAAGCAUGAUCAUCAUGGUGUUGUGGCGGAUCUGGUAUCUGCGAAAUGAACUUGUGCAUGGCAAAACAAUCCCUCCUGUAGAGGUGUCCUGUGCCUUUUGGACCAGCUACUACAACACUUUCAUACAGAGCUCAGCAUCGGCAGACGAAAUAAUCAAAGGUAAAGCCCCAUUGUGUGGAGUCCCACCUGCCAAAAUAGUGCAGCCAGAGCAUGUCACUUCCAUCAAGCCAUGGCCCAAGCCUCAUGUGGGAUCUAUGGCGUUGGCUACUGAUGGUUCUUACAAUUCUUCAGAUGGCUCGGCGGGUUCUGGAAUGAUCCUCCGAGAUGAUAAAGGGGACGUUAUCUUUGCAGCUUACCGUAAACUUUUCCAUGGUAAUGAAGCCCUUGAAUCUGAGUUACAAGCAAUCUGGGAAGGACUAAAGCUGGCGGUUGAACACUCUAGUGCUACGAUUUUACCUCAGUCAGACUGUUCGGUGGCACUUAGAGCACUAUUAGAUGAUUCCGUGGAUAGAUCGCCAUUUGAUUACCACACCAACAGAGGAGAAACAGAUCGCCCGCGUCGCCUGGCCCUGGGCGACUCGGGCGGAACGCGGUUGCUAGCGCCGCCGCCGCUCCUUUCUACACGCCUCGCCGCGCCGCUGCCGGAGGACGUCGCUGGCAAAGCUCACGCGGCCGACGGCGGCGGCGGGGCGCCUUCUCGCGACAGCCUCCGAUCUGUAGGGCGGCAGCUUCGGGCGGCACGUCGGCGCGCGUCGGGACUCAGUUGGGUCGCGGCGACCGGCAACUGUUCUCGACAUCCUCCUGUGGGGCGUGGUGACGGCGACCGGCAACUGUUCUCGACGUCCUCCUGUGGGGCGUGGGGCGCCUCGGUGGAUUUUGGCCGUGGUGUUGUGGCCAGGUUGGCUGCGGUGCCGUGGUUCUGUCUCGUGGACAGAUCUGUCUUUCUUGCUUCAGAUCCGAUCUUCGCGGGGAUUACUCUCUUCAGAUCUGGUGGUUUCAUCCAGCGACAAGAUGCAAUCGAUGGACAACGACUUGACGCAGAGGACAAGAUACAACGGCGAGCAGCUGCUAGGAUCGUGGAAAAGCGGUGGCGACAACAUAUGAUUGACUUCAAUGGUGGUGCUUUCGAGUACCCGGUCUCGAGCUCCGAGGGUGAAAACUUAGAGCCCGACCUUUGGUGGUUGGAUCCGGUGACGGCGACGCUCGAGCAUCGCUCCCUUCAUGAAGGUGUUGCUGUUGAAGAACCCCAUUAUCCUUAUGGUGUGAUGAGAUGGUUCUUGUGGAUAUGGUCAUUGUUGUAG